RNAcentral lists this long non-coding RNA (976 nucleotides) under Mus pahari (shrew mouse). RNAcentral's name for it is "lncRNA (MGP_PahariEiJ_G0003861.1)". The record is from RNAcentral. Lineage: Eukaryota; Metazoa; Chordata; Mammalia; Rodentia; Muridae.
GACAUCGCGGUCAAGGCUGGGAGCCUACAGGUGGCUGCCAUGGGUGACCUAAUUUCAGUUGUCGCUUUCAUUCCCUUGAGCUAAAGAUGUAGCCAGCAUCCAAAAACGAGCCGAGCUCAGCUGGAAUCCUUUUCAUAACAUCCAUCCCCAUGCCUGUAUACUGAAGCAUGUUCUGUACGUUUUCCUUGGCAGUUUCAAAGAUUCAGGCCUUUGAACUGACUCUUAGACAGGGCAGAGCAACAGAACAGCGACUAAGACACUGGAUACAAAGAACUACAAGACAAAAGUCUAAAGAGUCAAUGUAUCAAAUUUACCAAACAGCUACAUAUUUAAGGAGCUGCUUGAACUUAGCUAUUACUUCAGGACUAACUUUAUUAAAGUGAAAUAAUAUUUGAUUCUUUCAGCAUCACUGCAGUGGUAAGAACUGCAGUGUAAUUCUACAAUGCAUGCAACAGACAAAAGACCAAGUUUAUAUCCUAGGUAUUAACCGUCUCAGAGCCUGACUCACGAAGCAUCCUGGUCACAUGAUUAGCAGAAUAUCUCAAGGACACAUCUCGCCAUAAGGUGACAGAGUCACAGAAUCUGGGAUGCGGUGUACUCCAGGGAUGCUGGGAUGCUGGUCGUACCUAUAGAGGAGGAUGUCUCCGUUACAGGAACACAACUUGGACUACUCUGUCUUCUGAGGACCUGAGGUGCUCUCGUCUCCAGAUCAGGGCAGCGUUUGAUGGUUGAUGAUUUCUCUUCAUCUAGGAGACUGUCAUCAGGAUACAACUAAAAGAACAACAACAAUGUGCGCACCUGGGCAGUGGAUGAAGAGAAGCAGGAGAAGAGACAGUCCCGACAAGACUUUAGCAGAGGGACAGGGUCAGUCUCACAUCUCCAUGCCCAGGAUAUGAUGAAAGUUUCUGUGUUUCAAGACCGGAAAGAACGGCAUAUCGCUAAACAAACAAACAAAACACCCUAAAAAAGAAAAAAG